RNAcentral lists this ribosomal RNA (427 nucleotides) under uncultured bacterium. RNAcentral's name for it is "bacterial SSU rRNA". It matches the Rfam family "Bacterial small subunit ribosomal RNA", at positions 355 to 774 of the family's 1533-position model. The record is from RNAcentral.
UGGGGAAUUUUGGACAAUGGGCGCAAGCCUGAUCCAGCAAUGCCGCGUGCAGGAUGAAGGCCUUCGGGUUGUAAACUGCUUUUGUACGGAGCGAAAAGGUCUGCCCUAAUACGGUGGGCUCAUGACGGUACCGUAAGAAUAAGCACCGGCUAACUGCGUGCCAGCAGCCGCGGUAAUACGUAGGGUGCGAGCGUUAAUCGGAAUUACUGGGCGUAAAGCGUGCGCAGGCGGUUAUAUAAGACAGGUGUGAAAUCCCCGGGCUCAACCUGGGACCUGCAUUUGUGACUGUAUAGCUAGAGUACGGUAGAGGGGGAUGGAAUUCCGCGUGUAGCAGUGAAAUGCGUAGAUAUGCGGAGGAACACCGAUGGCGAAGGCAAUCCCCUGGGCCCGCACUGACGCUCAUGCACGAAAGCGUGGGGAGCAAACA